GACGAACGCUGGCGGCGUGCCUAAUACAUGCAAGUCGAGCGCUGAAGCUUGGUACUUGUUCCUAUUGGAUGAGCAGCGAACGGGUGAGUAACGCGUGGGGAACCUGCCUAUGAGCGGGGGACAACAUCUGGAAACGAAUGCUAAUACCGCAUAAAAACUUUAAACACAAGGUUUAAGUUUGAAAGAUGCAAUUGCAUCACCCAAAGAUGAUCUCGCGGUGUAUUAGCUAGUUGGUGAGGUAAAGGCCCACCAAGGCGAAGGAUCAUAGCCGGCCUGAGAGGGGGGUCGGCCACAUUGGGAAUUAGACACGGGCCAAACUUCUACGGGGAGGAGCCGGAGGGGAUCUUCGGCAAUGGGCGGAAGGCUGAACGGGCAACGCCGGGUGGGUGGAGAAGGGUCUCCGGUCGGAAAAAUCUGUUGGUUGGGAAGGACGUUAGUGGGAGUGGAAUGCUCAUCAAGUGACGGUAACUACUCAGAAAGCGACGGCUAACUACGUG
This 497-nucleotide ribosomal RNA is filed under the name uncultured bacterium. RNAcentral's name for it is "partial 16S ribosomal RNA". It matches the Rfam family "Bacterial small subunit ribosomal RNA", at positions 28 to 507 of the family's 1533-position model. The record is from RNAcentral.